UCCCCGUUACCGGGGCAGUCUGGUUAGACUAUUCAACUAACCACAAGGGUUGCGCUCGUUAAUGGACUUAACCAAACAUCUCACGACACGAGCUGACGACGGCCAUGCAUCACCUGUCACCUGAUUCCCGAAGGCACAAUCUCCUUUCGAAGAUCUUCCAGGGAUGUCAAGCCUUGGUAAGGUUCUUCGCUUACCAUCGAAUUAAACAACACACUCCGCUGCUUGUGCGGGUCCCCGUCAAUUCCUUUAUGUUUUAAGCUUGCGCUCGUACUCCACAGGCGGGAUGCUUAACGCGUUAGCUUCGCUACUACCAGGAUCGAUACUGAUAACAGCUAGCAUCCAUCGUUUACGGCGUGGACUAC
Molecule: unclassified non-coding RNA, 362 nt
Filed under: uncultured bacterium
Lineage: Bacteria
Description: contains 16S-23S intergenic spacer region
Source: RNAcentral